AAUGGGCGAAAGCCUGACGGAGCAACGCCGCGUGAGGGACGAAGGCCUCUGGGCUGUAAACCUCUUUUCUCAAGGAAGAAGAUAUGACGGUACUUGAGGAAUAAGCCACGGCUAAUUCCGUGCCAGCAGCCGCGGUAAUACGGGAGUGGCAAGCGUUAUCCGGAAUUAUUGGGCGUGAAGCGUCCGCAGGCGGCCUUUCAAGUCUGCUGUUAAAGCGUGGAGCUUAACUCCAUUAUGGCAGUGGAAACUGAUCGGCUUGAGUAUGGUAGGGGCAGAGGGAAUUCCCGGUGUAGCGGUGAAAUGCGUAGAUAUCGGGAAGAACACCAGUGGCGAAGGCGCUCUGCUGGGCCAUUACUGACGCUCAUGGACGAAAGCCAGGGGAGCGAAAGGGAUU
RNAcentral lists this ribosomal RNA (394 nucleotides) under uncultured Gammaproteobacteria bacterium. RNAcentral describes it as "bacterial SSU rRNA". It matches the Rfam family "Bacterial small subunit ribosomal RNA", at positions 370 to 779 of the family's 1533-position model. Lineage: Bacteria; Pseudomonadati; Pseudomonadota; Gammaproteobacteria. The record is from RNAcentral.